This 400-nucleotide ribosomal RNA is filed under the name phytoplankton environmental sample. RNAcentral describes it as "partial small subunit ribosomal RNA". It matches the Rfam family "Eukaryotic small subunit ribosomal RNA", at positions 587 to 977 of the family's 1831-position model. The record is from RNAcentral.
AGCUCCAAUAGCGUAUAUUAAAGUUGCUGCAGUUAAAAAGCUCGUAGUUGGAUUUGUGGCGGCCGUCCGGCGGGGGUCCUUCCAUGGUCUCGUUUGUCCUGAUUUUCGGCCGCUCCUUUCUCGGGUAGAGCAUAAUGGCUGGCAUUAGGUUGUCGGCCGCUUCGCGCCCGUCGUUUACUGUGAAAAAAUUAGAGUGUUCAAAGCAGGCUUAGGCCGUUGGAUACAUUAGCAUGGAAUAAUGAGAUAGGGCCACGGCGGUCUAUUUUGUUGGUUUGCACGUUGUGGUAAUGAUUAACAGGAACGGUUGGGGGUAUUCGUAUUCAAUUGUCAGAGGUGAAAUUCUUGGACUUGUGGAAGACCAACUACUGCGAAAGCAUUUACCAAGGAUGUUUUCAUUAAU